Molecule: ribosomal RNA, 1361 nt
Filed under: Trogolegnum pseudambulyx
Lineage: Eukaryota; Metazoa; Arthropoda; Insecta; Lepidoptera; Sphingidae
Description: 16S ribosomal RNA
Source: RNAcentral
AGGGGGUUAAAAUUAAUGAGUAAAAAUGUUAAUAAAAAAAAUUUUAAUGUUAGAAUAUGAUAAUGGGGGUUAAAGUAUUUUAAUGGAAAAAAUUUUUAAGUUUAUAGUUGAUGAGUAUUGUGGGGGAAAUUUGAAAUAGGGUGAAAAUAUAUUUUUUUGGAAGUAAAUUUAGUUUAUUGUAUCUUGUGUAUCAGAGUUUAUUAAUUUUUUUUUUAUGUAAUAAAUUUCUCGAAUUUAAAAGAGUUAAUUAAUUAAUAAAUUUAUUGUUUUAUAAAUAUUUUAAAUAAUUAAUUAGAAAUGAAAUGUUAUUCGUUUUUAAAUAUAUCUAGUUUUUUAAGAAAAAAAUUUAAUUUUAAAUUAAAAAAAAUAAAUAAUUAAUUAGUUUUUAAUUAUUUUUAUUUUUUUAAUUUUAUAUUUUAGGGGAUAAGCUUUAAAUUAAAUUUUUAUAAUUAAAGUUUAUUUAGAUGAAAAUUUUAUAAUUUAAAUUGUUAUUAAAUUUUAAUUUAUUAUAAAUAAUUUCAUUAAAUUUUAAAAUUUAAAUUGAAUUUAAUAUUUUAUUAAAAAAAAAAUAUAAAUUAUUUAUAUUAAGUUAUAAUGAUAAAAUUAGUAUAUAAAUAUAAUAUUUUGGUAAAAUUUUAUUUUAUGAUAAUUAUUUAAAAGGAAUUCGACAAAAAUUUAUAUUCACCUGUUUAUCAAAAACAUGUCUUUUUGGGUUAUAAUUUAAAGUCUAAUCUGCCCACUGAUUUUAAAAUUAAAGGGCUGCAGUAUAUUGACUGUACAAAGGUAGCAUAAUCAUUAGUCUCUUAAUUGGUGACUUGUAUGAAAGAUUGGAUGAAAUAUAAAUUGUCUCUUAUGUAUAAAAUUGAAAUUAAUUUUUUAAUUAAAAAGUUAAAAUAAUUUAAAAAGACGAGAAGACCCUAUAGAGUUUUAUAUUUAUUUGAAUUUAAUUUAUAAAUUAAUUUAUAUUGGUUUAAUUUUAAUUUAAUUAUUUUAUUGGGGUGAUAGAAAAAUUAAAUUAACUUUUUUUAAAAUUUAAAUUCAUUGAUUUAUGAGUUAUUGAUCCAGUAUUAUUGAUUAUAAGAAAAAAUUACCUUAGGGAUAACAGCGUAAUUUUUUUUUUUAGUACUUAUAAGAAAAAGAGUUUGCGACCUCGAUGUUGGAUUAAGAUAAAAUUUAAAUGCAAAAGUUUAAAAUUUUGAUCUGUUCGAUCAUUAAAAUCUUACAUGAUCUGAGUUCAAACCGGUGUAAGCCAGGUUGGUUUCUAUCUUUUAAUUUUUUUUUGAUAUUUUAGUACGAAAGGAGUAAAUAUUAUAAUUAAAUUAAUUUUAAAGAAUUUUAUUAAUAAUUGAAUAAAUUUAUUA